GGCGUGCUGCAUGGUUACAGAGACCAGUGCUCAGUACAGGAACAGGGUAUCUGAGGACAUCAGGAGGACAGUGAAAGCCUUGUCAUACAGCCUGAAGUCUCACAGCAAGUGUCUAUUAAUAAGCCAUGCCUACGCUUCCUCCAGCUGGAGCCAGAGACAAAGGAAAGAAUCAUUGGUAACGAGCUAUUUAUGGAGAAAUUCAUCUUGAUAUUUGCAUCACUAGUACAAGACAAGGCAAUGCCACAGUUUUCCUACCAUGACUAAGGACGGCACUUGGAGGAGGUUGGGAGCCUCGAGGUCCUGCGGGUGUUUAAUGCCCGAUGUAAGCCCAGUUGAGAAAUGGGAGGAGAGACAGCGAAGAGACAGAGCAACGCAGUUCUCGGGGUUUGUGCAUAGCAAGCUGCUGCGCGCAGGAGACGGUUGCCAGGCUGGUACCCGGUCGAGGCAGCCGAAAUCAGCUCACUGCCUGGAUGCAAUCACCAUGUCGAUGCAGCAGCAGCACAGAUGGACCGCCAGGAACUUUCUCCCCAGCGUCCUAAUAGGCAGCGAGUGCUUGUUUAAAACAAAGCCUGACAAAUGGCAUCUUGGGGGCGUCAAGUCCUGGAGCACUGUCUUCCGAAAAGUAUGAAAAGGCACCAGAGGGGAGCCUGGUACAGCCUCCCAGAUGACAGUAAUUAAAGGCUUUGCACUCACGCGCUAGGAGCUGCUCCUCUUGCAAAUUGGCCUUGAUUGAAGAGGAAGAGAAUGAUUAGGCUGAAGGGGAGUGAUGGGGGUGGCAGGCAAAAACACAGAGACCUGUGAGCACCAAAGAUGUCCCAGCUCUGGCUGAGGUCCCUCAUGGAGCAGUUUGCCUUGAAGUACUCGGGGAAGUCACCGCAACGUGAGCACAGAUGCUACCUCCAAACCCAGCCAGCUGUUUCACAGUGCCGGGCCAAGGAACUGGUCCAAAAUUCAACUGAGAGCCUCCGGCCCCCAAGUCCGGAGCAUUAACAGUCAGGAAUCCCAAACAAACCUGCCUCAGGCAAUAACAUUUGAGGCACUGACAAACACCCCCCUCUGUUGUCCAUGCGAAAAAGGAGUCAGGUCAUCCUUUGCACAGCCCUGCAACUGCAGCCUUGCUUGGUGCAGGGUUUCUUCUGAAGAUGUGAUAGUUUUGUCCUGCAAGAGGAGCUGCAUGGGUUUUGCAAUCUAGUCAGGUAAAUUGGUGCCUGAAUGGAUCGUUAGAGUCCAGGAUGAUGUGGGUGACACAUGGGAGCCAACGUCCCCCUGCCAGCUGGAGACGGGGUCCAUCCGCUUCGAGGCAGUAACGUCUCAGGUCCAGACAGGCACCCAGCAGUGGCAUCCUGGCAGGUGACUUGAGAUCUCCAUCAAACAGCAAGAUAGUGAAGGUGUCCAGAGACUUUCCCUACACAAGACAAUCGCAGACUCUGAACUCUCAAUCCUCAUUUGCAGACUCUGAGCUCCUGAGGUUGAUUUUACUACUUCAAUAAUAGGGAAAAUUAUGUGGAUUGGUGGCAGAAGCAAGUUAUAUGAUGAGUAUGGAGAAAUACAGCUCCAGAGCCAGGUUACUGCUUGAGACAAGGCUGCAGCAGGGAACAGCACCCGGCACUCCCAGCAGACACAGCUGCAGUGAAAUAACCCAAGAGGACCUGGUUAAAAUUAAGUUAAUUAACUGACCAGCUGUGGCAUGGCUGUUUCCUCUGUGUGCCCUGGCUCUUAGUCCUCCUCUCCAAGGGGAGAAAGUGCUGUUGAACCCAUUUAUUGCCAAUGCUGGUUCUCCGAAGCAGAGGUUGUAACUCUCGGUGUCCUAUCAGCUCUGAGAUACUCAUUGCAGGUGCCUGAGCCUCACCUAGGACUGAGGACUUUUAGACCUUGGGACAAUAUUUUCUAGAUGCAGAGACUUGAGAGAAGGAGAUAUUCUGGAGAGUUUCUGUGUUAGUGUUUGCAGAGGGAUGGUGUUGCCUCCCUUCCACCUGCUGAGAGCCCAGGAUGGGGACGUGGGGCUGGGCGGCACCUGCAAGGGGAGGGCGGGCUGGGUGCACAAUGUUCUUCAAACUCCUUAAAAAAAAAUAUGUAAACCCAGAUCUUCACUUUCCUUUUGUUGCAUGCAGCAGGUCAGGUCCUGCUCUGGAAGUCACCGAGUCGUGGAUCAGCCACAUAGCUGAUGGAAAUGCUGCUGCUGGCCUGUGGAAGGGUUUUUAGGAUUUUUUUUUUUUUUUUUUCAGUCAACCCAUUCAGGAAAGAAUAAGCUUUCAUUUUCUGAGCUAUCACUUUCUGCAGCAUGUGUCAAGCUAACAAUGGCUGGGUAUUCCUCCAAGGCUGUAAAAUAAGCUCGUUCAUCCUUUCUCCCUAUUUGCUGUAGGGACAACAAAACAAAACAAAAAGAAAUAAAAGAAAAAUCUACUGAACUACUCUUUGCUUUCCAGACGGAGCCUGUGGUAUGGCACCAGCAGCCAAGCACUGCUCUGGGUCAAACAUGAAGUUGAUGUGCCGUUUGUGUUCGCUCAGCCCCACGGAUACAGAGCGAGGGAGAAGGCAGGAAUGUCAGUGGGAGCCUCUUGUGGGCUCCUCCUCACCAAGGGGAGCCUCCCCCGCCUGCCUUUGCUGGAGCUCUGUAAUUUCCAGCAGGAUCAUGUUAACCACAGACCGUGCAGGGAGCAGGGUUGGGGUUUCAGUCCGUGGCCACCUUCCCAUUGAGUCAGGGCUGAAUCACCACCCCGUGCCGAGCACAAAGGGCCACGGUGCUGCUGAAG
Tyto alba (common barn owl) is the source of this 2753-nucleotide long non-coding RNA. RefSeq lists it as uncharacterized. The record is from RefSeq and is a predicted model, not a curated record. The transcript is spliced from 7 exons. NCBI's taxonomy places the organism in Eukaryota, Metazoa, Chordata, Aves, Strigiformes, Tytonidae.